CCUCACUAAUAUUUCGUUAGGAGGCACUUCCUCUUGCAUUAUUCACCAAUCUUUCCUUCUAGAUACCUACAUACGCAUGCAUGCAUGAGACGGCCCCACUUGAGCUCCAAAGAGAUCUAGACGGAGAUAGAAAAUCGUAGCUUGAUAGAUUGAGAGAUCUGUAGAGCUGGCAAGAUGAUGCGGUGAUCAAGAAAGAUAGAGAGAGAGAGGGACCUGCUUUGCCCAUGGGUCAAAUGCCGGAGCCGGGCAUGGCGAUUGGAGGGGUUCGCUACGCGUAGGGCAGACAGACGAGUCAGGACUCCGUGCGCUCGUGCGAGGCGAAGGAAGGUAGCUCGCGGAAGGCUGCCGGCAUCUAAAUGGAGAUAUUUGGGAAG
Molecule: long non-coding RNA, 374 nt
Filed under: Spirodela polyrhiza (greater duckweed)
Lineage: Eukaryota; Viridiplantae; Streptophyta; Magnoliopsida; Alismatales; Araceae
Description: long non-coding RNA (SPOL_LNC001313)
Source: RNAcentral